This is a non-coding RNA of Heterocephalus glaber (naked mole-rat), 272 nucleotides long. The record is from Rfam. Lineage: Eukaryota; Metazoa; Chordata; Mammalia; Rodentia; Bathyergidae.
GUAUGUGAGGGCAAUCUGGCUGCAACAUCUGUCACCCCAUUGAUCACCAGGGUUGAUUUAGCUAAUCUAGCUGGCUAAGCGGGUGGUCUCUUCCUCCCUCACCACUCCAUGUAUGUCCCUCCUGAAGAGAAGACAACCACCCUGAUAGAGGAGAAUCAUUUCCUUGGUCAAGGGUAUAUGAGUAGCUGCACUCCCCUGCUAGAAUCUCCAAACAAGCUCUCAAGGAAGGGACCUAUUCCAUAUUACAUUUUUACUUCCCUCUCCUAGAUGGU